AGGGGAAGUUCAACUAGCAAGAACUGCUAAUUCCUGCAUCUGGGCCUAAAACCUCAGUCCCCUCAA
Molecule: transfer RNA, 66 nt
Filed under: Aquila nipalensis (steppe eagle)
Lineage: Eukaryota; Metazoa; Chordata; Aves; Accipitriformes; Accipitridae
Description: tRNA-Ser
Source: RNAcentral